Oryza sativa Japonica Group (Japanese rice) is the source of this 3541-nucleotide long non-coding RNA. RefSeq lists it as uncharacterized. NCBI's taxonomy places the organism in Eukaryota, Viridiplantae, Streptophyta, Magnoliopsida, Poales, Poaceae. The record is from RefSeq and is a predicted model, not a curated record.
GCUCGCCACGGCGCCCUCCCCCUAGCCGGCGGCGCCCUACCCUUGGCGGCCAGUGCCUCCGCCGCCGCUCCCUCCACCUGGCCGGCGGCGUCUUUCACCCGGUGAGCAGCGGUGCGCGACGGGCCUGGGAGCGUUGGCUAGCGAUCUACUCCUCGGCGUCGGCAGCUCUCUCCUUCUGCGAGCGGCAACGGGCGGCGGUGCCUCUCCGCCCCUUGUCUCGUCUCCCUCGCCAUGAGGCCACGGGAGGGCUCGACGGUGGUGGGCGGCCGCCAACAACAAGGUGAACUGGCUUCGCUUUCGGCGCCUACCUGUCUCCAUCAUCGCCAAGCCAAGUGUGGAGGUCGACGGCACACUCGAGUCCCGACUCAUCCUCCUUCGCAAGGGUGCGCGACAGCUAAGCACCCGCGACCUCUGCGAGGAGUUCUGCCUUUAUCGGAUCUCUCCACUUGUCCGCGAAUAGGGGGCGUCCGUUAACAAGGACGAAGAGGUGCUCGGGCUUCCCCGCCUCGUUCUUCCUUCCGGUGCCGAACUCCGCACAUUGGAAGAUGCUGAGGCAGAGGCGGCGAAGAUGGUCGGAGGCCUGACCACUGCCGAAUUCGACCGCUUGCUCCAACGUCAAGCCGAUGGGAGGGCGAACCGCGUUCAUGUCGGCGAGUUUACUAGUCGAUCGAUCAUUUCCAAAGCCGCCGACGACGACGUUGGGACAUCGAAGAAGCGCAAGCGAGCCGUUGCGAAGGGUGGCCAGGUGCAAACUCGUCGCGCCACCAAGGACGCGCCCAACACCGACGCGGACGAGGAGGAUGACGACGAAAGAGAGGCCGGGUCUAACGAAGAGGGCGGAUCGCACGGCUACACCCCCAGUCCAGUCCAGGCGAAGGCUGGAGCGAGCUCUGAUGUUUCGCCCGUACGUGCACAAGAUGUUGCUGGCACGAACAUGCUUUUGGCUAUUUCGAUCUUCGCGGCGAAACAAGGGGCGAUCGCCAGAAAUAAGAAGGGAGGGGUGGUGCAAGUCGCUGGUGGCUUUACCGACAGCGAGGGGUCGUCUGACGGGACGCCUACUUCGCCGGCGCUGUGACGCAUUGGCCCCCGGAGGAGGCGCCCGUCGCCGCCCCCUGCCAGCGAUGCUGAAGCGCCGACUAGGGGCAGUGCUUCGGCUCCUGCCGCUGCUUCGAUCGGGGCGAUCAAGUCAGCGGAGGCGAAUACCACCAAGGCCGAGAGAGUCGAAACGGUUCCUUCGACGAGUCAUCAGCGGGAGGGGAAGGCGCCGUCGGUUGAGAUGACCGUGUCUGAUAUGACACUGACCGCCCGCACUUUGUUUCCGCGGAUUUCGCCUCUCGGCCAGAGAUCGCCACUUUCGUAGAUGGGGUGUAUCGGAUUGUUGCGCCGUCCGACGGCCUUGGUCUCUUUACCGAACUCAAGGAAUUUGGUGAGAGUUGCACGGCUGCGGAGAGCUUAUUCGUGCAGGGUCUCGCGGCGCACCUGAGCGCGAAACGGUCUGCCUUGGAGAGGCUAGACGGGUACUGGCUUCACCUUCGGAAGACCGAAGAGGACCUCCGCCACAAGGAAGACGAACGCCGUGUCGUGCCGGACGCCUUGAAAAAGGCGAACGCGGAGAACAAUUCUCUUACAGGGGAAAACAAAUCUCUCCGCACCGACCUGGAGGGGGCGAACAAGAGGGCCGUCGAACGGGAACGCCAACUUGCUGCGGCCGAGUAAAAGAUUAAGUCUCUUUAGACCCAGCUUGUCUCGGCCGAAGCUGUUGAUGAGACUUUGGCGCCAGCGACGGAGUCCGCCAAGCAAGCCUGCAACACUCUUAGGCUAGCUCUCAACGACCUUGGUGCGCGCGCGGAGGGCGCUUCGGGUGACGACGGGACGGUGUUCGAUUUUUUCGAGUGGACGCAAGAUGCGGUCGGCUCAGUUGUCGAAGUGGCUGGCGCGUACGGCGAUUGCUGUGUGCAAGUUGCCGCGGUUUUCGUGCUCAGCCUCCUUCACGAACAUGGUUGUGACCAUGUUGAUGAUUUUCCUCAAAUCGUGAAGAAUGAUUGGCCCGAAAAUGAUCAAUCCGCCGCGUCAGCCGUGAAGGCCUUUCGGAAGGGCUUCUAGGAGAACGGUGGUAGGGAUGGGGCGAAGACCCAGCUGCUGCCGACGCUGGCUAAAGGUCCCAGACCGUCGGAGGCAACUACCGGUCAUGAGGGUGAAGGCAAUGAAAGCCGAGACCACCCUGAGGUGUGAGGCCCUUCGUCCUCGCGUUUUUGUUUUCUAGACUUUUGUAGUCGUAGUUUGUUUAUAAGUAUUUUGCAUGUUCGGAUAGUUGCCGUAACCAUCUUGUAGCCGCUGUGGAAAGUUUGUAUUUCGCCAACUGUCCGUCUUUAUUGCAAUACGUGAUUGAUUUGGUUAGCGUAUUUUUCCUUUUCGUUGUACUUUAUGUCUUAUUGGCAGGGUCUUAGCCGAAAGUCGUGCGUUCGGCCCCCCUUUGGAGAUUGGCAAAAUAAGAAUGAGAAGUUCGUGGCGAUGAAGGGCUUGCCGAAGAUCAAGUGUCCGUUUCGACCCGUUUUACCGCGAGAUGUUGAUAAACGGCAAUAGCUAUAAGGUUAUCAAGGUAGCGGGAUGGAUGCGUGCGUAUCCAGGGCGAACCUUGGAGGACUACGACCGCUACCAUGUCGCUCGCCGUGAGGAUAGCACCAAUUUCUGGCGAAACUUCAAUAGGUCGAGUCGCCAAGAGGCGAUCGCCCAUCGCCGUUAUAGCUUAGUUUGUGCUUGGCCCCCGUCGCCUUUAAGGGUUGUAUACGAUAUUAGUAGUGACGACGAACCUUGUACGCCGGUUUGUAACGUAGACGAGGGCGAAUGUAUGAAUGAUGAUGUAAUUUUUUUUAUGUUUGUUCACGUAAAUAGAACAUAUUUUUGAUUUCGUUUUCCUGAUAUUUCGUGAGUUUUCAUACAUAUCUUCAUGCUAUUGUUCGCAUAGUCAGUUAGUCACUAUCAUGCUUUUGUUAGGUCGAAACGUGUCGGCCCCUUAGCGUUCUAUAGCGAGGAGAUAUGUUUAUUUCUCAGCUCUCUUCUUCCGUUUUCGGCUCAUGGAAGGCGUGCUAUGAAGCAUCGUGGCCUAUGCGUAAGCCGAGUACAACGGCGUUUUGACUUGUAUAUUCAAAAUUCGAGCUGUUGCAGUUUCGCUAUUUAGUGAGCUAUGCUUCGACCGAUUCGUUUUGCCCCCCUGGCUCGUUCGCUGAUUAGGCGUUUGCCUUGGGAUUUUUCCAUGAAGACAUCACUCACAAAAAAGGAAAGUAAGAAGACAUAGAGAUUUUUAUACUGGUUCAGGCCUCCAAGGUGGAUAAUAACCCUAUGUCCAGUUUUUUUUCUUUUUCCAUUUUCCUCUUUUUUUUUCUUUUUUGUGCCGAACGGCUUACAUAAUAUGUACAUUUUUACAAUUGGCGAAUAUGGUGCCACCAUUUUACACAUAAAAGCGUCUAAGGGAAACGACAUUCUAGGAGUGGUCGAACUCUUCGCCCUCCAAUGUUACCAGCUGAAAAGAACCCGUUCGAGA